AUUGAACGCUGGCGGCAGGCUUAACACAUGCAAGUCGAGCGCCCCGCAAGGGGAGCGGCAGACGGGUGAGUAACGCGUGGGAAUCUACCCUUUUCUACGGAAUAACGCAGGGAAACUUGUGCUAAUACCGUAUGUGUCCUUCGGGAGAAAGAUUUAUCGGGAAAGGAUGAGCCCGCGUUGGAUUAGCUAGUUGGUGGGGUAAAGGCCUACCAAGGCGACGAUCCAUAGCUGGUCUGAGAGGAUGAUCAGCCACAUUGGGACUGAGACACGGCCCAAACUCCUACGGGAGGCAGCAGUGGGGAAUAUUGGACAAUGGGCGCAAGCCUGAUCCAGCCAUGCCGCGUGAGUGAUGAAGGCCCUAGGGUUGUAAAGCUCUUUCACCGGAGAAGAUAAUGACGGUAUCCGGAGAAGAAGCCCCGGCUAACUUCGUGCCAGCCGCCGCGGUAACAC
RNAcentral lists this ribosomal RNA (450 nucleotides) under uncultured bacterium. Its description in RNAcentral is "bacterial SSU rRNA". It matches the Rfam family "Bacterial small subunit ribosomal RNA", at positions 30 to 526 of the family's 1533-position model. The record is from RNAcentral.